UACGGGGGGGGCAAGCGUUGUUCGGAAUUACUGGGCGUAAAGGGCGCGUAGGCGGCCUGCUAAGUCGAACGUGAAAUCCCCGGGCUCAACCCGGGAACUGCGUCCGAUACUGGUUGGCUUGAAUCCGGGAGAGGGAUGCGGAAUUCCAGGUGUAGCGGUGAAAUGCGUAGAUAUCUGGAGGAACACCGGUGGCGAAGGCGGCAUCCUGGACCGGCAUUGACGCUGAGGCGCCAAAGCGUGGGGAGCAAACAGG
Molecule: ribosomal RNA, 253 nt
Filed under: uncultured bacterium
Lineage: Bacteria
Description: partial 16S ribosomal RNA
Rfam family: Bacterial small subunit ribosomal RNA
Source: RNAcentral